Molecule: unclassified non-coding RNA, 198 nt
Filed under: uncultured Exophiala
Lineage: Eukaryota; Fungi; Ascomycota; Eurotiomycetes; Chaetothyriales; Herpotrichiellaceae
Description: sequence contains ITS2
Source: RNAcentral
UCACCCCUCAAGCCCCCCUUCUUAAUUGAAACCGGCUUGGUGUUGGACGGUUUGGUGUCGGCAACGUCACCCCUCCCAAAGACAAUGACGGCGGCUUCGUGAGACCCCCGGUACACUGAGUUCCUCACCGAACACGUACUGGAUCAAGGGUAGACGGGGCCCCGGUCGACCUCCCUUCACGGGGAGAUUUAUUUUUCA